GCGGACGUGGUGGAAUUGGUAGACACACUGGAUUUAGGUUCCAGCGCCGCAAGGUGUAAGAGUUCGAGUCUCUUCGUCCGCA
Molecule: non-coding RNA, 82 nt
Organism: Pseudomonas sp. ABAC61
Lineage: Bacteria; Pseudomonadati; Pseudomonadota; Gammaproteobacteria; Pseudomonadales; Pseudomonadaceae
Source: Rfam